This 398-nucleotide ribosomal RNA is filed under the name uncultured bacterium. RNAcentral describes it as "partial 16S ribosomal RNA". It matches the Rfam family "Bacterial small subunit ribosomal RNA", at positions 360 to 775 of the family's 1533-position model. The record is from RNAcentral.
AAUAUUGCACAAUGGGGGAAACCCUGAUGCAGCGACGCCGCGUGAGUGAAGAAGUAUUUCGGUAUGUAAAGCUCUAUCAGCAGGGAAGAAAAUGACGGUACCUGACUAAGAAGCACCGGCUAACUACGUGCCUGCACCCGCGGUAAGACGUAGGGGGCAAGCGUUAUCCGGAUUUACUGGGUGUAAAGGGAGCGUAGGUGGGUUGGUAAGUCAGGUGAGAAAGCCCGGGGCUCAACCCCGGGACUGCAUUUGAAACUAUCAAACUAGAGUGCAGGGGAGGUGAGUGGAAUUCCUAGUGUAGCGGUGAAAUGCGUAGAUAUUAGGAGGAACACCAGUGGCGAAGGCGGCCUACUGGACUGUAACUGACACUGAGGCUCGAAAGCGUGGGGAGCAAACAG